Molecule: unclassified non-coding RNA, 1724 nt
Filed under: Athalia rosae (coleseed sawfly)
Lineage: Eukaryota; Metazoa; Arthropoda; Insecta; Hymenoptera; Athaliidae
Description: misc RNA ENSAEAG00005006006.1
Source: RNAcentral
AUCUCGCCGUUUUGGGAUGUGUAGCGGUAGGUUUCCUCCUGGGAUAGUUGAACGGCGCGUCCGUUCACCUUGAUGGCAGCCUGGUCGUUGUUGGGGUACAUCUCGAUCUCGGCCUCGCCGAGGACCAGUCUGCACUCCCUCUGGUGUUCGUUGAUGUCCCGGCAUACGACGCUAACGCGCAUAUCCUCGGGGAUCUCGUCGUCGCCGUUCUGUUCGUCGUCGGCGUCCUGGUCGGGGAUGGUGGUCAUCACCACGUGCCAGCAGUUGCCGAGCUCGAUGGGGUAGGUCUUGUUGUCGAAGGCGUAGAAACGGUUACCCUGGAGAGCGGGGAAGAGGAAGCUUCCUUCCAGUUGUUCGGCGUCGUUGCUUUGGAUGUUAAGGGCGCUCAGAAUGUUCUCGGGACUGAAUUUGCUGGAUUUGGAGUUCUUCUUCUGGUUAGCCUGGUCGUUGUCUUCGAAUUGAUCGUAGAGAACGUCGAGCAGAUCGUCAACGCUGGACACCAUGGCGCCGUAGAUGGAAGCCGGGGAUUGGAAUCCACCCUUGUUGAACGCCGCGGUGGCGAAUACGGCCUGAGGUGCGAUGGCGUCUUCGCUUCCGAUCCAGUAAGAAUUCAGUUGGUAGCCGCUGCUCAUUGCCUCGGAUGUGUAAUCGUGGAGCCAUCCGCGGGAGUAUUGGAGACCCAUGUUCUUGGUGCUGAGCAAAUCGCGGGCGGCGCGAGCGUUGUGUGCGAGUUCGGGUUUGGUUUGCAGAACGUAUUCGGGCAGAGGGCUGAUGUCGUAAAGGACUUCGCACUCGCCGGUCACGGUGUCCUCCAUGGCCUUGUAGGUGGCGUAAGCCUGAUCACCUUCGGGUUCCUGGUUGUAGCGAGACUUCAUGGCGUUUUCACCCUGAGUGUCGACCUGGAGUUGAGAAGCGAUGGACUUGAUGAUGUUCACCUGCCAGGUGGGCAGAGACUUCUCAACGACGAGGUCGUCGAUCACGCCAUUCUUGAACUUGAUCUCGAAUGGUUUUUCACUGAGCUCGAACUUCUGGUAGUUGGUCUUCUUCUCGGGGAGAGGAGAGUCCCAACCGCCUGGCAGCUGAGCGUGAAUCUCGGCGACCUGGGGCCUCUGGAUGUUACAGCUCAAAGCGUCGGAUCCUUUCGGCUGACAUUUGAGCUGGGCUUUGAGGGCGAUACCGGUGUACUGGUCGGCGACCUGAUGAAGCGCGGCUAAAGUGCGACCUCGCACUUGGUAGGUGUAUUCUUGCCCGGCUUUCCAAGCAUGUUGGUCAGCGGAGGCGAUUCCAACUGCGAAUCGAUUUUGUUUUUUAAAUUUUUUGGCAAGAAACAAAAUUUCAGCAUGAUGUGAAUGAUCGUCAGCGAGCAAGCAUGCUAGUUCAAAAUCGAAUUGUUUUCAAGCAAGAAUGCUAGUUUAGAAUCGAAUUGUUUUCAAGCAAGAAUGCUAGUUUAGCAUCGAAUUGUUUUCAAGCAAGAAUGCUAGUUUAGAGUCGAUGAAGCGCGUUUGUAUCAAGAUCGAAAUUGAUCGAUCAGGAUUAUGUGAUCUCACAAAGAAAAUUGUUACUCACCUAGGAGACACAGAAGUAGAGGAGACCACAUUCUGCUGGUUGACUUCGGAGACGGAGUGACGAUAGCCAAUGAUCCAGAUGCUUUUAUACCAUUUCGGAUCUUCAUUUUUAGCUUAUUCGGAAUUAUUGAUCCGUUUGACAUUUGCCCUCCGACAUAC